RNAcentral lists this ribosomal RNA (910 nucleotides) under Montagnula striatispora. Its description in RNAcentral is "LSU rRNA". It matches the Rfam family "Eukaryotic large subunit ribosomal RNA", at positions 38 to 962 of the family's 3401-position model. The record is from RNAcentral. Lineage: Eukaryota; Fungi; Ascomycota; Dothideomycetes; Pleosporales; Didymosphaeriaceae.
GCAUAUCAAUAAGCGGAGGAAAAGAAACCAACAGGGAUUGCCCUAGUAACGGCGAGUGAAGCGGCAACAGCUCAAAUUUGAAAUCUGGCCCUCUUCGGGGGUCCGAGUUGUAAUUUGUAGAGGGUGCUUUGGCAUGGGCGGCGGUCUAAGUUCCUUGGAACAGGACAUCGCAGAGGGUGAGAAUCCCGUAUGUGGGCGCCUGCCUUUGCCGUGUAAAGCCCCUUCGACGAGUCGAGUUGUUUGGGAAUGCAGCUCUAAAUGGGAGGUAAAUUUCUUCUAAAGCUAAAUACCGGCCAGAGACCGAUAGCGCACAAGUAGAGUGAUCGAAAGAUGAAAAGUACUUUGGAAAGAGAGUCAAAUAGCACGUGAAAUUGUUGAAAGGGAAGCGCUUGCAGCCAGACGUGCCCGCAGUUGCUCACCCCGGCUCUCGCCGGGGGCACUCUUCUGCGGGCAGGCCAGCAUCAGUUUGGGCGGUCGGAUAAAGGCCUCUGUCAAGUAUCUUCCUUCGGGAUGACCUUAUAGGGGAGGCGCAAUGCGACCAGCCCGGACUGAGGUCCGCGCAUCUGCUAGGAUGCUGGCGUAAUGGCUGUAAGCGGCCCGUCUUGAAACACGGACCAAGGAGUCUAACAUCUAUGCGAGUGUUUGGGUGUCAAGCCCGGGCGCGUAAUGAAAGUGAACGGAGGUGGGAUCCCCUUCGGGGGUGCACCAUCGACCGAUCCUGAUGUCUUCGGAUGGAUUUGAGUAAGAGCAUAGCUGUUGGGACCCGAAAGAUGGUGAACUAUGCUUGAAUAGGGUGAAGCCAGAGGAAACUCUGGUGGAGGCUCGCAGCGGUUCUGACGUGCAAAUCGAUCGUCAAAUUUGGGCAUAGGGGCGAAAGACUAAUCGAACCAUCUAGUAGCUGGUUCCUGCG